Pelobates cultripes (western spadefoot toad) is the source of this 812-nucleotide non-coding RNA. The record is from the annotation of a GenBank genome assembly. NCBI's taxonomy places the organism in Eukaryota, Metazoa, Chordata, Amphibia, Anura, Pelobatidae.
UUAAAGCAUCUCUCUCCCCACUGAUCCGCGGGGAAUAUAUAGUGUCCCCAUGUCUCCCAGUGUCCCUUAGUAUCUGUGUCCCUGAGACACUAAUGGACACUGGAAGACGGGACACUGAAACACUAGGACACUGGGAGGCUUAAAGACACUGUGCUUGGAGACAGGGAGACAGUGGGAGCAAUCCCGCUUACAGCAGAAUCAGGUUUUUUUUGGUGAUUUUAAAGAAUUUUCUGUUACUCAUUGUAAUGUACAUAUCGUGAUGUCACACAUGCAUAAUUAAUUAUGCAGAUUAGUAUGGCCGGUAUUUUUUUUUUUUUUUCUUUCAAAAAAGGUGGCAACCCUUACGCAGAAUCUAAACUGCUUCAUAUAAUUUUCCAUUAAAUAUCUUAUGAAUAAACCAAGAGAAAAAAUUGGUUUGCAAAGAAUGCUUUGGGGAAAUAAAACAAAAAAAGCAAGAGAUUUUGUAAAAUGUCCUUUUUCAAAGUGUGCAGACAUUACCUGUUCCAGAUCAUUGUUUUGUACAAUCGUCCCCUGAUAUGUUCUUGCUGAUUGUGUUUUUUGCAACUUUGCCUGGUUAAGGUUCCUUCCUUUUUAACAGCUUUCAUUUUAUUUUGUGUUCCUAAAAAUGCAAUUAAAGUUAAGCUGCUUUUUGGUGCAACUAAUAGAAUUUGUAAAUUCAGAUAGUCACUUGGCCUUGUAUUUUCUGAUCCGCAUGAAAUUAAGAAACUGAGUUUCUGUUGGGAAAAUAGCCAUUUUCCCCCUCCAGAAUGUAUAUACACAGCUGUUUAAUAAAGUAAAUUCUCUUCUUAAAA